CCUACGGGAGGCAGCAGUGAGGAAUAUUGGUCAAUGGGCGAGAGCCUGAACCAGCCAAGCCGCGUGAAGGACGAAGGUGCCAAGCAUUGUAAACUUCUUUUGUCAAGGGACAAAAUCAGGCUCGAGAGCCUGACCGAGGGUACUUGAAGAAAAAGCAUCGGCUAACUCCGUGCCAGCAGCCGCGGUAAUACGGAGGAUGCGAGCGUUAUCCGGAUUUAUUGGGUUUAAAGGGUGCGUAGGCGGACUGUUAAGUCAGCGGUAAAAGCCCGGGGCUAAACCCCGGCGAGCCGUUGAAACUGGUUGUCUUGAGAUGUCGAGAGGUAUGCGGAAUGCGCAGUGUAGCGGUGAAAUGCUUAGAUAUUGCGCAGAACUCCGAUUGCGAAGGCAGCAUACCGGCGGCGAUCUGACGCUGAGGCACGAAAGCGUGGGUAUCGAACAGGAUUAGAUACCCUAGUAGUC
RNAcentral lists this ribosomal RNA (459 nucleotides) under uncultured bacterium. RNAcentral describes it as "partial 16S ribosomal RNA". It matches the Rfam family "Bacterial small subunit ribosomal RNA", at positions 338 to 795 of the family's 1533-position model. The record is from RNAcentral.